This 435-nucleotide ribosomal RNA is filed under the name uncultured bacterium. RNAcentral's name for it is "bacterial SSU rRNA". It matches the Rfam family "Bacterial small subunit ribosomal RNA", at positions 958 to 1392 of the family's 1533-position model. The record is from RNAcentral.
AACGCGAAGAACCUUACCUAAGCUUGACAUCCCACUGACCCUUCCCUAAUCGGAAGUUUCCCUUCGGGGACAGUGGUGACAGGUGGUGCAUGGUUGUCGUCAGCUCGUGUCGUGAGAUGUUGGGUUAAGUCCCGCAACGAGCGCAACCCUUGCCUUUAGUUGCCAUCAUUAAGUUGGGCACUCUAGAGAGACUGCCGAGGAUAACUCGGAGGAAGGUGGGGAUGACGUCAAAUCAUCAUGCCCCUUAUGCUUAGGGCUACACACGUGCUACAAUGGGUGGUACAGAGGGUUGCCAAGCCGUGAGGCGGAGCUAAUCCCUUAAAGCCAUGCUCAGUUCGGAUUGUAGGCUGAAACUCGCCUACAUGAAGCUGGAGUUACUAGUAAUCGCAGAUCAGAAUGCUGCGGUGAAUGCGUUCCCGGGUCUUGUACACACCG